ACUGAAUUGUGGAAUAAAGUCAGCCUAAAUUUACCAACAUCAUUUUUAAUAAACAAAUAAAUAAAUUACGUGCAGUGCUUUGUCCGUGUGCAGCUGUCGGCCUUCCACACAUUUCCGUUUGUCCGUUGAUGUUGCAACGCUGUUGGAAAAUAUUUUCUGAACCUCAAAAUUCAGAAAACAUUGGCUGCCGUGCUCUGCACUUAGAAAAGUCAAAUCAACUUGUACUUUAUCUUUGGGAAGGCUAACAGGAUGGCUGAUUGGAUGGUUUUUUUUUUUUUGGUAAAGGAUUGGAUGGUUUAGAUUUUGGUGAGUGACACGAGUGGAUGCAUUCACUCUUGAAGUUUGGCUCACUUAUAUUUAUUUAUAUUUUAAAAAUUAAAAUUUUUAAUUGAUUUAAAAUUUUUAAAAUCAUUGUAAAUUGAUCUAGAUGUUUAUCUUCGUUAGAGAACUCCAUAAUGUGAGGAUCACUUAAUAGAUUAAUUUUUAUAAAAUUCUAUAAGUGCCGAUCCUAGAUAUUUUUCUAUAUUGAUGUAUAUUGGAGAAGAGAGGAAGAAGAGUCAUAUAGCUCUCAUGUGACUUAUCUCCUCCCAUCUCGCUUACUGUUUUUGCCAUUUCUCUGUGCCCCAUCAGAUAGAAUGAAGGGAACAACAAAUAAAGGAGAGAGGAAGAGAGAGAGAGAAAGAGUGAGUGAUAUUUUCAAUAACUCCAUCCAUCGCUCCAAAGAAGAUAAAUC
RNAcentral lists this long non-coding RNA (733 nucleotides) under Elaeis guineensis (African oil palm). Its description in RNAcentral is "long non-coding RNA (EGUI_LNC022879)". Lineage: Eukaryota; Viridiplantae; Streptophyta; Magnoliopsida; Arecales; Arecaceae. The record is from RNAcentral.